This is a long non-coding RNA of Daphnia magna, 3029 nucleotides long. RefSeq lists it as uncharacterized. The record is from RefSeq and is a predicted model, not a curated record. The transcript has 3 exons. NCBI's taxonomy places the organism in Eukaryota, Metazoa, Arthropoda, Branchiopoda, Diplostraca, Daphniidae.
AAAAAGGAAGGAGGGGAGAAGCACUUCUUUCGAGACCGAUACGAGACCUAGCAACAGUGGCGGACCAAUCAGCCGACAGUCUUGUUAUUAUGCUUCUUUUUCACCCCCUCACGGAACAUCCGAGUUGAUGGCUGACAAGGAAGACGAGGGUGGAGGGAAGAAAAAAGCUUUUUGCUCUUCGGUAUGUGAGAGAGAGAGAGAGAGAUGCUCUUUUGUUCCACACACACACGGAGGUUUCAUCUGGUGCCAGAGGGUGUUGGAGCUUAAGAGGAUUCUUUUUCCCUGUAUACCCCUCGUCGUGUGUGCCUAUACAGCUAAUUCCUCUAUUUCAAAUGCCAAAAUAAAUACAGACAAACAUAAACAAGGUCAUGAAGUCCGUUCAAGUAAAACUCCAUUACCUUAAAGUCACCAUUUGGCCGGUUUUUGAAAAAAAAAUUCACUGUUUAACGAUAUACGCACACUCAUUCGGCGAUACACCACAUUCCACAGCGGACAUGUCUGGAAACGUUCACUGAAUUUUUUUUCCCCCAGACAAGUCGGAGCCCAGACGGUUCUUCACCGUUGAAAACAGAAUUUUGGGUUUUCACGAAAGUUAAACGUGAAAAUGUUACAGUAGCCAUCAUUCUAAACUAACCAAAUAACUAUCAGCUUAAUAAAAAGGUAAAUUUUGAUAACGUGGAAUAAAAACAUUUCCCUUUUUCAUCCAGUUGGUGGCCAUUUUCCUUUUUUUUUGGUGAGUGUGUGAGGAAAAUCGAUUGGCCUAAGAAGAGAAGGAUUGCUGUUUUGUUAUUUUCUUCUGGAACACCAAGUUUCUCUAAUGAACAAGGUCCUUGAUGACUAUUUGCCACCAUAACAGUAGUACGAUAUCCUACACUUUGGCAACAAUGCAAUUUCAUUGUAAAAAGAAAGAAAAAAAAGAGGGAAAACCUUGGUGGGCAGUUAUUUUGCCUAUUGUAAAAAAGAGAGAGAAAGAGAAGAAAAAAAAAAGAGAAACAUGUUGCAACGAAUGACUUCUUAAGUUGGGAGAGCUCCUGAAUCUGACAGAAUGAAAUCUAAUCGCAGUCGAAUGCUAUUUCGGCAUCGGUGCGGAACACGACCCAAGAGAAUUGAGCUCAAUCAGCUAAACGGUGGGAAUGCAACGAAUCGUCAACCAACACACACAGGCAAGGAAAAGAAAACUUUUUUGUUAACAAAUUUCGUUUUUUUUUAAAGGAAACAUUUUAAAAUAAUGGAAGCAUUAAGAUGGCGGGGGAGAGAGGAAAAUAAUGUUGGGGAAAAGUCAACGCCCUCGAAAGAUACACGUGUGGCGUAUCAAUAAAAACUCCUCUUUUUAUCUCCAUUUUUUUUCAAGGCUGUUACUUUCGAAAGCAGAGAGGUGAAUGAAUAUUCAAUUGAAUCGUCUACUGGUGUGUGCUUGCUUGCAUGCAAUACGAGUGUGUUCGGGGGGGAGUGUCUCAUUUGUACGGAUUUUUUUCUUUCCAAUACGACGUGAUCGCGUUAUUUCUUGCUGGAAUUCCUUUCGACAGCUGGCGAUUUCCAGAUUGAUGUUUUUGCGGUUGGAAAAUUCUUUUUUCCCUCUCUGAAACUGUCGAGACCAACAUCGAUUGAUGCACUUGCAGACGCAUGUAUGGUCAUCAAACAUUUCUCUUUUUUUGUGAAAACAAGAAAAGUUCCACCACUGUAAAAACUUUUGGCAGACACACAGACUCUCUUGGCAAAAGUUGGUACAAAAAAAAAAGCUUUUCGCCUUUUUAUGGGUGUGGCCGACGGAGACAUUGCAUGUGCUUUGAAUUUAUCGUACUGUGUACCAGCAGUCAUAGAGUUACGUAACUCAUGUACCUAGAGCGCCGCAAGACGUCGCUUGCGACAAUCCCAGACGUUCUUGUUCUGUCGCUUCUCAAAAUGAACAUCUCGGCCACGAAUAUGACAUCAAAAGUACCAAUCAGACCUCUCAUCUAAGAUACUUAGCCAAGAAAAAAGAUGCUAGCGCAAAAAAAAAUAAAUAAAAAGUAUAUGUCUUACCAAUAUCGGCGAUGCUUCCUGUUUUGCCGCAGAACCCCGGCAUAGCCCUAUCGAUCGGUCGCCUCCGACGACGUCAGUAACCUCUAGACGAGCUCAUGGUCACGUGAUCGAUACACGAAAGGAACACUUUUACAGCCAAGCUCUGGGGCUUUACGGCCUUGACGAGCGUUGAGGCGGUUCCAACUUCGUUGGUAUUUCUUUUUUUCUGUCGGUCGAGAGUGGCUAACGUCUCGACGAUGGACGUCGAUGUUUGGUGCAAGAAAAAAAAAAAAUCCCGUCUUUUAUCUUGGACCGUGACGCCAGACGCAUUUUUUUCCCGGUCAAGGUCGGAUCAAUGACGCUCAGCGCUAUCAAUUCACGCAUCAUCCCGAAUGGAAAAAUUUUUGUGUAGCGCAUAAAGAGCGAGGAGGGAAAGAGAACCAGACAAAAGAAGACUUGUCGGGUUAACUCUCUCCCCCUCUGUGUUCAACCCCAACGGGGUGUCCAUAAGGGGUCAGGCCUCUCCCAUUUAUGAUUGAGAGAGAGCCGGAGGGGGACUUCUCUCUUCUGACGUAAAACCGUUGGUGUUAUUAUUUAAAAAUAUAAAUGGAACCCUACAACAGUGUAGGACGUACUGCACAGGACCCCCUCUAAACCCUCCCUCUUUCCUCCUCUUCUAUGUCUGGCAACCGUCUAGACAGUCCGGUUGCUGUAUAGUACUAAAGGAGCAGCAGCACUGAAAUAAACACACACACACAAGCGAACAAUUUGACAAAAAGCAAGGACUUUUUUCGUUCUUGUUGGCUCUCAACCAGAUGUCUACGCGUCGCCCAGCCCUUUUCGCACAACAUCCGCACAGACGACGCCAUUAAAACCAGCAGACGGGAAAUCGAAAUAGGCAAAGUCCAUUCACGAAAAAGAGGGGAAAAAAACCCCCUCAAAAAUUCAUUAAAAACUUCCGGUACUAAUGUAAAGCAAAUGACAUUCUUCGUGAUCCAUCUUACAAAAUAUAACAGAUACGAGAUGUA